RNAcentral lists this ribosomal RNA (450 nucleotides) under uncultured bacterium. RNAcentral describes it as "partial 16S ribosomal RNA". It matches the Rfam family "Bacterial small subunit ribosomal RNA", at positions 328 to 793 of the family's 1533-position model. The record is from RNAcentral.
ACGCCAGACUCCUACGGGAGGCAGCAGUGGGGAAUAUUGCACAAUGGGGGGAACCCUGAUGCAGCGACGCCGCGUGGGUGAAGGAGUGCUUCGGUACGUAAAGCCCUAUCAGCAGGAAAGAAAAUGACGGUACCUGACUAAGAAGCCCCGGCUAACUACGUGCCAGCAGCCGCGGUAAUACGUAGGGGGCAAGCGUUAUCCGGAUUUACUGGGUGUAAAGGGGGCGCAGACGGCAGCGCAAGCCAGGAGUGAAAGCCCGGGGCCCAACCCCGGGACUGCUCUUGGAACUGCGCGGCUGGAGUGCAGGAGGGGCAGGCGGAAUUCCUGGUGUAGCGGUGAAAUGCGUAGAUAUCAGGAGGAACACCGGUGGCGAAGGCGGCCUGCUGGACUGCGACUGACGUUGGGGCCCGAAAGCGUGGGGAGCAAACAGGAUUAGAUACCCCAGUAUAA